RNAcentral lists this ribosomal RNA (556 nucleotides) under Salmonella enterica. Its description in RNAcentral is "bacterial SSU rRNA". It matches the Rfam family "Bacterial small subunit ribosomal RNA", at positions 110 to 662 of the family's 1533-position model. Lineage: Bacteria; Pseudomonadati; Pseudomonadota; Gammaproteobacteria; Enterobacterales; Enterobacteriaceae. The record is from RNAcentral.
GUAAUGUCUGGGAAACUGCCUGAUGGAGGGGGAUAACUACUGGAAACGGUGGCUAAUACCGCAUAACGUCGCAAGACCAAAGAGGGGGACCUUCGGGCCUCUUGCCAUCAGAUGUGCCCAGAUGGGAUUAGCUAGUUGGUGAGGUAACGGCUCACCAAGGCGACGAUCCCUAGCUGGUCUGAGAGGAUGACCAGCCACACUGGAACUGAGACACGGUCCAGACUCCUACGGGAGGCAGCAGUGGGGAAUAUUGCACAAUGGGCGCAAGCCUGAUGCAGCCAUGCCGCGUGUAUGAAGAAGGCCUUCGGGUUGUAAAGUACUUUCAGCGGGGAGGAAGGUGUUGUGGUUAAUAACCGCAGCAAUUGACGUUACCCGCAGAAGAAGCACCGGCUAACUCCGUGCCAGCAGCCGCGGUAAUACGGAGGGUGCAAGCGUUAAUCGGAAUUACUGGGCGUAAAGCGCACGCAGGCGGUCUGUCAAGUCGGAUGUGAAAUCCCCGGGCUCAACCUGGGAACUGCAUUCGAAACUGGCAGGCUUGAGUCUUGUAGAGGGGGGU